AUAACAUCAACAGUGCGCUUAAAAUAAGAAGAAUAGGGAUCAUGAAAAACGUUUAUAAUGGGUUGUAAUCGAUUAAAUGUGUGAUUGAUACAAGCAGUCUCAUAUAGCGUAGCCGAACAUCAAAAAGAAGGAAGCUCAUUUCAAACACCGGUAAAACGGACGGUUCUAAUAAAGAUUUGCUUCAUUUUCUUUUCUAAAUAUGAUACCCAGCGUGGAACCAUCGGUAUUGAAUGUUGC
Mya arenaria is the source of this 237-nucleotide long non-coding RNA. RefSeq lists it as uncharacterized. Lineage: Eukaryota; Metazoa; Mollusca; Bivalvia; Myida; Myidae. The transcript has 3 exons. The record is from RefSeq and is a predicted model, not a curated record.